This is a long non-coding RNA of Hordeum vulgare subsp. vulgare (domesticated barley), 307 nucleotides long. RefSeq lists it as uncharacterized. The transcript is spliced from 3 exons. The record is from RefSeq and is a predicted model, not a curated record. Lineage: Eukaryota; Viridiplantae; Streptophyta; Magnoliopsida; Poales; Poaceae.
UGAAGACCAGCGUCAAGCUCAUCCACGCCAGUCGGUUGUUCGUGGACGAGGCCGUGAAGGAGGAUCACUACCACUCAAAGCGCCACAAGAAGAGUACAAUCUAAUGCUGGAAGCAUUUAUGUUCACUCUUUUACACGAGCUCCAGGCCUAUGAAAUUUGAAGUUUGAAGCCGUGAAACCAAGUGCAAAGCAGUGAAGCCCUAGUCAACAAAGAUUUGUUUGAUCAGUUUGACUAUAGUAGAAUGUAAAUUGUAAUAUUGUAACAGAUUGUAAUAUAUUAAUUUAAUGUUAUUUGAUGAUUUUUUUUU